AGAGUUUGAUCAUGGCUCAGAACGAACGCUGGCGGCAGGCUUAACACAUGCAAGUCGAACGCCCCGCAAGGGGAGUGGCAGACGGGUGAGUAACGCGUGGGAAUCUACCGUACCCUACGGAAUAACGCAUGGAAACGUGUGCUAAUACCGUAUACGCCCUACGGGGGAAAGAUUUAUCGGGGUAUGAUGAGCCCGCGUUGGAUUAGCUAGUUGGCGGGGUAAAGGCCUACCAAGGCGACGAUCCAUAGCUGGUCUGAGAGGAUGACCAGCCACAUUGGGACUGAGACACGGCCCAAACUCCUACGGGAGGCAGCAGUGGGGAAUAUUGGACAAUGGGCGCAAGCCUGAUCCAGCCAUGCCGCGUGAGUGAUGAAGGUCUUAGGAUUGUAAAGCUCUUUCACCGGAGAAGAUAAUGACGGUAUCCGGAGAAGAAGCCCCGGCUAACUUCGUGCCAGCAGCCGCGGUAAUACGAAGGGG
This 477-nucleotide ribosomal RNA is filed under the name uncultured bacterium. Its description in RNAcentral is "bacterial SSU rRNA". It matches the Rfam family "Bacterial small subunit ribosomal RNA", at positions 8 to 533 of the family's 1533-position model. The record is from RNAcentral.